RNAcentral lists this ribosomal RNA (1364 nucleotides) under metagenome. Its description in RNAcentral is "SSU rRNA". It matches the Rfam family "Eukaryotic small subunit ribosomal RNA", at positions 6 to 1373 of the family's 1831-position model. The record is from RNAcentral.
GGUUGAUCCUGCCAGUGGUCAUAUGCUUGUCUCAAAGAUUAAGCCAUGCAUGUCUAAGUACAUGCCUUUGCACGGUGAAACCGCGAAUGGCUCAUUAAAUCAGUUAUGAUUUCUUAGAUCGUUCAUAUUACAUGGAUAACUGUGGUAAUUCUAGAGCUAAUACAUGCAAAAGCUCCGACCGUAUGGGAAGAGCGCUUUUAUUAGACCAUAACCAAUGGGGUGGCAACAUCCCUUUGAUUGGUGACUCUGGAUAACCUUGUGCUGAUCGCAUGGCCUCGAGCCGGCGACGUAUCUUUCAAGUGUCUGCCCUAUCAACUUUCGAUGGUAAGCGACUUGCCUACCAUGGUUGUAACGGGUAACGGGGAAUCAGUUCGAUUCCGGAGAGGGAGCAUGAGAAAUGGCUACCACAUCUACGGAAGGCAGCAGGCGCGCAAAUUACCCACUCCUAGCACGGGGAGGUAGUGACGAAAAAUAACAAUACCGGACUCUUAGAGGCUCGGUAAUUGAAAUGAGUACAGUUUAAAACCCUUAACGAGGAUCUAUUGGAGGGCAAGUCUGGUGCCAGCAGCCGCGGUAAUUCCAGCUCCAAUAGCGUAUAUUAAAGUUGUUGCAGUUAAAAAGCUCGUAGUUGGAUCUCGGGCACCAGCAUGUGGUACGCUUGAUUGCUGUUACUACAUGUCUGGUCCUAAUUCGUCGGUUGGCUGUUGAUGUCCUUCACUGGGUGUCUUCAGUAGCCGGCACGUUUACUUUGAGAAAAUUAGAGUGCUUAAAGCAGGCCUUAUGCCUGAAUACUGUUGCAUGGAAUAAUAGAAUAGGACCUCGGUUCUAUUUUGUUGGUUUUGUAGAGCAUUGAGGUAAUGAUUAAUAGGGACAGACGGGGGCAUUUGUACUGCGGUGUUAGAGGUGAAAUUCUUGGAUCGCCGCAGGACAAACAACUGCGAAAGCAUUUGCCAAGAAUGUUUUCAUUAAUCAAGAACGAAAGUUGGAGGUUCGAAGACGAUUAGAUACCGUCCUAGUUCCAACCAUAAAUGAUGCCAAUUUGGAAUCAGCCUUAGUUAAUUAAACGACUAGGCUGGCACCAUCCGGGAAACCAAAAUGUUUGGGUUCCGGGGGAAGUAUUUGCAAAGCUGAAACUUAAAGGAAUUGACGGAAGGGCACCACCAGGAGUGGAGCCUGCGGCUUAAUUUGACCCAACACGGGAAAUCUCACCCGGCCCGGACACUGUAAGGAUUGACAGAUUGAUAGCUCUUUCUUGAUUCGGUGGGUGGUGGUGCAUGGCCGUUCUUAGUUGGUGGAGCGAUUUGUCUGGUUAAUUCCGAUAACGAACGAGACUCUAGCCUGCUAAAUAGUACGCCGAUCUUUAG